GACGAACGCUGGCGGCGUGCUUAACACAUGCAAGUCGAACGGAAAGGCCCUGCUUUUGUGGGGUGCUCGAGUGGCGAACGGGUGAGUAACACGUGAGUAACCUGCCCUUGACUUUGGGAUAACUUCAGGAAACUGGGGCUAAUACCGGAUAGGAGCUCCUGCUGCAUGGUGGGGGUUGGAAAGUUUCGGCGGUUGGGGAUGGACUCGGGGCUUCUCAGCUUGUUGGUGGGGUAGUGGCUUACCCAGGCUUUGACGGGUAGCCGGCCUGAGAGGGUGAUCGGCCACAAUGGAAGGGAGACAGGGGCCAGAGUCAUACGGGAGGGAGCAGUAGGGAAUCGGCGGCAAUGGGCGAAAGCCUGACGGAGGAACGCCGCGUGAGUGAUGAAGGUCGUGGGAUCGUAAAAAGCUGUUAUUAGGGAAGAAAAAAUGUGUAAGUAACUAUGCACGUAUUGACGGUACCUAAUAAGAAAGCCACGGCUAACUACGUG
This 488-nucleotide ribosomal RNA is filed under the name uncultured bacterium. RNAcentral's name for it is "partial 16S ribosomal RNA". It matches the Rfam family "Bacterial small subunit ribosomal RNA", at positions 28 to 507 of the family's 1533-position model. The record is from RNAcentral.